Molecule: ribosomal RNA, 501 nt
Filed under: uncultured bacterium
Lineage: Bacteria
Description: partial 16S ribosomal RNA
Rfam family: Bacterial small subunit ribosomal RNA
Source: RNAcentral
AUUGAACGCUGGCGGCAGGCUUAACACAUGCAAGUCGAGCGGGGGAAGGUAGCUUGCUACCGGACCUAGCGGCGGACGGGUGAGUAAUGCUUAGGAAUCUGCCUAUUAGUGGGGGACAACAUCUCGAAAGGGAUGCUGAUACCGCAUACGUCCUACGGGAGAAAGCAGGGGAUCUUCGGACCUUGCGCUAAUAGAUGAGCCUAAGUCGGAUUCGCUAGUUGGUGGGGUAAAGGCCUACCAAGGCGACGAUCUGUAGCGGGUCUGAGAGGCUGGUCCGACACACUGGGACUGAGACACUGCCCAGCCUCCUACGGGAGGCAGCAGUGGGGAAUAUUGGACAAUGGGGGGAACCCUGAUCCAGCCAUGCCGCGUGUGUGAAGAAGGCCUUAUGGUUGUAAAGCACUUUAAGCGAGGAGGAGGCUACUCUAGUUAAUACCUAGGGAUAGUGGACGUUACUCGCAGAAUAAGCACCGGCUAACUCUGUGCCAGCCGCCGCGGUAA